CGGACGUGCUAGAAAUUCCAUUCGAGUGUUCGCCACUGCAUACUCGAGUGUAUCUUCGGCGCAAAGAAGUUGCAAGAAUAUUUAAAACAGCUGGAAUUCUCGCACGUUCGUGCAUCGACACAAAGAGGACGCGGUAAUAAUACAAAUUUGUUCUUUGAAAUUCAUUCGACUACGCCGGCUGAUAAAAAAGGAGGAACGAAAUGCGUUCAUAACCGGUCGCAUCGCCGUUUUUGCCUCGACCAUUAUCACGCGCAUGGGAUUCAGAAAUUCCGGCGACAGGAGUCCAGGGUCGAGGAAUGUCGGUUUCCAAAGAGAACGGUCUGUUUCCGGGAUGCAACGUCACUCGCUGAAAAUCGCUAUUUUUGCGUCCAUCGCGCGAGUCAGGGAGUUUUAUUUCUCCGAAGCGUUCUUCCGUCGUCCAGUCACGUAUCUGGGCUGCGCUUGUCCCGACAAAACGGCAUCACGAAACCCUGUAGCUUGGAUGGAUCGAAGCUAACCCACCAAAAAUAAGAAAACACGUCGG
This 523-nucleotide unclassified non-coding RNA is filed under the name Bombus terrestris (buff-tailed bumblebee). RNAcentral's name for it is "misc RNA ENSBTSG00005036219.1". The record is from RNAcentral. Lineage: Eukaryota; Metazoa; Arthropoda; Insecta; Hymenoptera; Apidae.